ACGGGAGGCAGCAGUGGGGAAUAUUGCACAAUGGGCGCAAGCCUGAUGCAGCCAUGCCGCGUGUGUGAAGAAGGCCUUCGGGUUGUAAAGCACUUUCAGUCGUGAGGAAGGCGGGUACGUUAAUAGCGUAUUCGUUUGACGUUAGCGACAGAAGAAGCACCGGCUAACUCCGUGCCAGCAGCCGCGGUAAUACGGAGGGUGCGAGCGUUAAUCGGAAUUACUGGGCGUAAAGCGCAUGCAGGUGG
This 245-nucleotide ribosomal RNA is filed under the name Vibrio alginolyticus. RNAcentral describes it as "partial 16S ribosomal RNA". It matches the Rfam family "Bacterial small subunit ribosomal RNA", at positions 341 to 578 of the family's 1533-position model. RNAcentral also lists the same sequence under 1 other name. Lineage: Bacteria; Pseudomonadati; Pseudomonadota; Gammaproteobacteria; Vibrionales; Vibrionaceae. The record is from RNAcentral.